RNAcentral lists this transfer RNA (71 nucleotides) under Nanobdellota archaeon. Its description in RNAcentral is "Nanoarchaeota archaeon tRNA-Gly". It matches the Rfam family "tRNA". Rfam says of the family: Transfer RNA (tRNA) molecules are approximately 80 nucleotides in length. The record is from RNAcentral. RNAcentral also lists the same sequence under 1 other name. Lineage: Archaea; Nanobdellati; Nanobdellota.
GCGCCAGUAGUCUAGUGGUAGGAUCCGGCCCUCCCAAGGCCGAGACCCGGGUUCAAAUCCCGGCUGGCGCA